This 497-nucleotide ribosomal RNA is filed under the name uncultured bacterium. RNAcentral's name for it is "partial 16S ribosomal RNA". It matches the Rfam family "Bacterial small subunit ribosomal RNA", at positions 28 to 507 of the family's 1533-position model. The record is from RNAcentral.
GACGAACGCUGGCGGCGUGCCUAAUACAUGCAAGUAGAACGCUGAAGCGAGGAGCUUACUCUUCUUGGAUGAGUUGCGAACGGGUGAGUAACGCGUAGGUAACCUGCCUUGUAGCGGGGGAUAACUAUUGGAAACGAUAGCUAAUACCGCAUAACAAUGGAUGACACAUGUCAUUUAUUUGAAAGGGGCAAUUGCUCCACUACAAGAUGGACCUGCGUUGUAUUAGCUAGUAGGUGAGGUAAUGGCUCACCUAGGCGACGAUACAUAGCCGACCUGAGAGGGUGAGCGGCCACACUGGGACUGAGACACGGCCCAGACUCCUACGGGAGGCAGCAGUAGGGAAUCUUCGGCAAUGGGGGCAACCCUGACCGAGCAACGCCGCGUGAGUGAAGAAGGGUUUCGGAUCGUAAAGCUCUGUUGUAAGUCAAGAACGGGUGUGAGAGUGGAAAGUUCACACUGUGACGGUAGCUUACCAGAAAGGGACGGCUAACUACGUG